UACGAAGGGGGCUAGCGUUGCUCGGAAUCACUGGGCGUAAAGCGCACGUAGGCGGCUUGUUAAGUCAGGGGUGAAAUCCUGGAGCUCAACUCCAGAACUGCCUUUGAUACUGGCGAGCUUGAGUUCGGGAGAGGUGAGUGGAACUGCGAGUGUAGAGGUGAAAUUCGUAGAUAUUCGCAAGAACACCAGUGGCGAAGGCGGCGCACUGGCCCGAUACUGACGCUGAGGUGCGAAAGCGUGGGGAGCAAACAGG
This 253-nucleotide ribosomal RNA is filed under the name uncultured bacterium. Its description in RNAcentral is "partial 16S ribosomal RNA". It matches the Rfam family "Bacterial small subunit ribosomal RNA", at positions 524 to 776 of the family's 1533-position model. The record is from RNAcentral.